ACCCUCCAUUUCCUUUUCCCAUCAAACAUGAACCCUGGUCCGAGUGCUUACAAAGGGAGAAAAAAUAAAAUUGAAACUGACUUCAGUGCUUUUGUGGUGCCUGUGUUAAUUCCAGACAAAC
RNAcentral lists this small nucleolar RNA (121 nucleotides) under Echinops telfairi (small Madagascar hedgehog). RNAcentral describes it as "Small nucleolar RNA SNORA61 (ENSETEG00000026536.1)". Lineage: Eukaryota; Metazoa; Chordata; Mammalia; Afrosoricida; Tenrecidae. The record is from RNAcentral.